GAUGCUGUAGCUCAGUGGUGGAGUGCAUGCUUAGCAUGUGUUAGGUCCUGGGUUCGAUUUCCAGUCACCAUUA
Molecule: transfer RNA, 73 nt
Filed under: Camelus bactrianus (Bactrian camel)
Lineage: Eukaryota; Metazoa; Chordata; Mammalia; Artiodactyla; Camelidae
Also listed under: 1 other name
Rfam family: tRNA
About the family: Transfer RNA (tRNA) molecules are approximately 80 nucleotides in length. Their secondary structure includes four short double-helical elements and three loops (D, anti-codon, and T loops).
Source: Rfam by way of RNAcentral